GGGGUGCUAUACUGCAGUCGAGCGACAGAUAAGGAGCUUGCUCCUUUGACGUUAGCGGCGGACGGGUGAGUAACACGUGGGUAACCUACCUAUAAGACUGGGAUAACUUCGGGAAACCGGAGCUAAUACCGGAUAACAUUUGGAACCGCAUGGUUCUAAAGUGAAAGAUGGUUUUGCUAUCACUUAUAGAUGGACCCGCGCCGUAUUAGCUAGUUGGUAAGGUAACGGCUUACCAAGGCGACGAUACGUAGCCGACCUGAGAGGGUGAUCGGCCACACUGGAACUGAGACACGGUCCAGACUCCUACGGGAGGCAGCAGUAGGGAAUCUUCCGCAAUGGGCGAAAGCCUGACGGAGCAACGCCGCGUGAGUGAUGAAGGGUUUCGGCUCGUAAAACUCUGUUAUUAGGGAAGAACAAACGUGUAAGUAACUGUGCACGUCUUGACGGUACCUAAUCAGAAAGCCACGGCUAACUACGUGCCAGCAGCCGCGGUAAUACGUAGGUGGCAAGCGUUAUCCGGAAUUAUUGGGCGUAAAGCGCGCGUAGGCGGUUUCUUAAGUCUGAUGUGAAAGCCCACGGCUCAACCGUGGAGGGUCAUUGGAAACUGGGAAACUUGAGUGCAGAAGAGGAAAGUGGAAUUCCAUGUGUAGCGGUGAAAUGCGCAGAGAUAUGGAGGAACACCAGUGGCGAAGGCGACUUUCUGGUCUGUAACUGACGCUGAUGUGCGAAAGCGUGGGGAUCAAACAGGAUUAGAUACCCUGGUAGUCCACGCCGUAAACGAUGAGUGCUAAGUGUUAGGGGGUUUCCGCCCCUUAGUGCUGCAGCUAACGCAUUAAGCACUCCGCCUGGGGAGUACGACCGCAAGGUUGAAACUCAAAGGAAUUGACGGGGACCCGCACAAGCGGUGGAGCAUGUGGUUUAAUUCGAAGCAACGCGAAGAACCUUACCAAAUCUUGACAUCCUUUGAAAACUCUAGAGAUAGAGCCUUCCCCUUCGGGGGACAAAGUGACAGGUGGUGCAUGGUUGUCGUCAGCUCGUGUCGUGAGAUGUUGGGUUAAGUCCCGCAACGAGCGCAACCCUUAAGCUUAGUUGCCAUCAUUAAGUUGGGCACUCUAGGUUGACUGCCGGUGACAAACCGGAGGAAGGUGGGGAUGACGUCAAAUCAUCAUGCCCCUUAUGAUUUGGGCUACACACGUGCUACAAUGGACAAUACAAAGGGCAGCUAAACCGCGAGGUCAUGCAAAUCCCAUAAAGUUGUUCUCAGUUCGGAUUGUAGUCUGCAACUCGACUACAUGAAGCUGGAAUCGCUAGUAAUCGUAGAUCAGCAUGCUACGGUGAAUACGUUCCCGGGUCUUGUACACACCGCCCGUCACACCACGAGAGUUUGUAACACCCGAAGCCGGUGGAGUAACCAUUUAUGGAGCUAGCCGUCGAAGUGAACA
Molecule: ribosomal RNA, 1442 nt
Filed under: Staphylococcus saprophyticus
Lineage: Bacteria; Bacillati; Bacillota; Bacilli; Caryophanales; Staphylococcaceae
Description: bacterial SSU rRNA
Rfam family: Bacterial small subunit ribosomal RNA
Source: RNAcentral